AUACGGAGGGUGCAAGCGUUACUCGGAAUCACUGGGCGUAAAGCGCGCGCAGGCGGUCUUUUAAGUUGGAUGUGAAAGCCUACGGCUCAACCGUAGAACUGCAUCCAAAACUAUUAGACUAGAGUGUGGGAGAGGAAGAUGGAAUUAGUUAUGUAGGGGUAAAAUCCGUAGAGAUAACUAGGAAUACCAAAAGCGAAGGCAAUCUUCUGGAACACUACUGACGCUGAGGCGCGAAAGCGUGGGGAGCAAACAGGAUUAGAUACCCCAGUAGUCC
RNAcentral lists this ribosomal RNA (274 nucleotides) under uncultured bacterium. RNAcentral's name for it is "partial 16S ribosomal RNA". It matches the Rfam family "Bacterial small subunit ribosomal RNA", at positions 523 to 796 of the family's 1533-position model. The record is from RNAcentral.